RNAcentral lists this ribosomal RNA (298 nucleotides) under uncultured Mycoplasma sp. RNAcentral's name for it is "partial 16S ribosomal RNA". It matches the Rfam family "Bacterial small subunit ribosomal RNA", at positions 1001 to 1323 of the family's 1533-position model. Lineage: Bacteria; Bacillati; Mycoplasmatota; Mollicutes; Mycoplasmatales; Mycoplasmataceae. The record is from RNAcentral.
UAGAAAUAUGGUGGAGGUUAUCAAAGUGACAGGUGGUGCAUGGUUGUCGUCAGCUCGUGUCAUGAGAUGUUUGGUUAAGUCCCGCAACGAGCGCAACCCUACUCUUUAGUUGUUUGUCUAAAGAGACUGAACAGUAAUGUAUAGGAAGGAUGGGAUCACGUCAAAUCAUCAUGCCCCUUAUGCCUUGGGCUGCAAACGUGUUACAAUGGCGAGUACAAUGUGUUGCAAAUCAGCGAUGGUAAGCUAAUCACCAAAACUCGUCUCAGUCCGGAUAAAAGGCUGCAAUUCGCCUUUUUGA